AAUUCUUCCUGGAGGAGCUUGCUAUCUAACCGAUCAUCCACGUAAUACCUCACCAACUUUCGAAUAAAUCAGCCUGUAUACCAUCGUCGUCAGUUUACUUCCCGAGAAAUGUAAACACAAGGAACAAAUUUUACUUCCUGACGUCAGAUCGAGGUGCAGCUAAUAAGUUGGGGAUAAGUGAGCUACAAUCAUAAAUAUAAGAAUAAAAAUAUGUAUGAAUAAUGAACUGAUAGCCCCAUUUGAAACAGGAUUCAGCAGUAAUGAGCAAAAGAAAAUGCCCAUG
Molecule: ribosomal RNA, 283 nt
Filed under: Pisaster ochraceus (purple sea star)
Lineage: Eukaryota; Metazoa; Echinodermata; Asteroidea; Forcipulatida; Asteriidae
Description: partial 12S ribosomal RNA
Source: RNAcentral